Molecule: ribosomal RNA, 566 nt
Filed under: uncultured bacterium
Lineage: Bacteria
Description: partial 16S ribosomal RNA
Rfam family: Bacterial small subunit ribosomal RNA
Source: RNAcentral
UGGGGAAUUUUGGACAAUGGGCGCAAGCCUGAUCCAGCCAUUCCGCGUGCAGGAUGAAGGCCCUCGGGUUGUAAACUGCUUUUGUACGGAACGAAAAGGCUUUCUCUAAUACAGAGAGCUCAUGACGGUACCGUAAGAAUAAGCACCGGCUAACUACGUGCCAGCAGCCGCGGUAAUACGUAGGGUGCAAGCGUUAAUCGGAAUUACUGGGCGUAAAGCGUGCGCAGGCGGUGAUGUAAGACAGAUGUGAAAUCCCCGGGCUCAACCUGGGAACUGCAUUUGUGACUGCAUCGCUGGAGUGCGGCAGAGGGGGGAUGGAAUUCCGCGUGUAGCAGUGAAAUGCGUAGAUAUGCGGAGGAACACCGAUGGCGAAGGCAAUCCCCUGGGCCUGCACUGACGCUCAUGCACGAAAGCGUGGGGGGCAAACAGGAUUAGAUACCCUGGGUAGUCCACGCCCUAAACGAUGUCAACUGGUUGUUGGGUCUUCACUGACUCAGUAACGAAGCUAACGCGUGAAGUUGACCGCCUGGGGAGUACGGCCGCAAGGUUGAAACUCAAAUGAAUUG